RNAcentral lists this ribosomal RNA (638 nucleotides) under Agromyces sp. So3Pt_258. RNAcentral's name for it is "bacterial SSU rRNA". It matches the Rfam family "Bacterial small subunit ribosomal RNA", at positions 381 to 1024 of the family's 1533-position model. The record is from RNAcentral. Lineage: Bacteria; Bacillati; Actinomycetota; Actinomycetes; Micrococcales; Microbacteriaceae.
GCCUGAUGCAGCAACGCCGCGUGGGGGAUGACGGCCUUCGGGUUGUAAACCUCUUUUAGUAGGGAAGAAGGGCUUCGGCUUGACGGUACCUGCAGAAAAAGGACCGGCUAACUACGUGCCAGCAGCCGCGGUAAUACGUAGGGUCCGAGCGUUGUCCGGAAUUAUUGGGCGUAAAGAGCUCGUAGGCGGUUUGUCGCGUCUGCUGUGAAAUCCCGAGGCUCAACCUCGGGCCUGCAGUGGGUACGGGCAGACUUGAGUGCGGUAGGGGAGAAUGGAAUUCCUGGUGUAGCGGUGGAAUGCGCAGAUAUCAGGAGGAACACCGAUGGCGAAGGCAGUUCUCUGGGCCGUAACUGACGCUGAGGAGCGAAAGCGUGGGGAGCGAACAGGAUUAGAUACCCUGGUAGUCCACGCCGUAAACGUUGGGCGCUAGAUGUGGGGACCUUUCCACGGUUUCCGUGUCGUAGCUAACGCAUUAAGCGCCCCGCCUGGGGAGUACGGCCGCAAGGCUAAAACUCAAAGGAAUUGACGGGGGCCCGCACAAGCGGCGGAGCAUGCGGAUUAAUUCGAUGCAACGCGAAGAACCUUACCAAGGCUUGACAUAACCGAGAACGCCGCAGAAAUGUGGAACUCUUUGGACA